This 105-nucleotide transfer RNA is filed under the name Fukomys damarensis (Damara mole-rat). It matches the Rfam family "tRNA". Rfam says of the family: Transfer RNA (tRNA) molecules are approximately 80 nucleotides in length. The record is from Rfam by way of RNAcentral. Lineage: Eukaryota; Metazoa; Chordata; Mammalia; Rodentia; Bathyergidae.
GUCAGGAUGGUCGACUGGUCUAAAUCGCCAGACUCAAGCUCAGCUUCUCGCAUCGGGGAUUCUGGUCUCCAUGUGGAGCCGUGGGUUCGAAUCCCACUUCUGACA